Molecule: ribosomal RNA, 251 nt
Filed under: uncultured bacterium
Lineage: Bacteria
Description: partial 16S ribosomal RNA
Rfam family: Bacterial small subunit ribosomal RNA
Source: RNAcentral
GACGUAGGGCGCGAGCGUUGUCCGGAUUUAUUGGGCGUAAAGAGCUCGUAGGCGGCUUGUUGCGUCGACUGUGAAAACCCGCGGCUCAACCCCAGUCCUGCUUCCGAUACGGGUGGACUAGAGGUAUGCAGGGGAGAACGGAAUUCCUGGUGUAGCGGUGAAAUGACGCAGAUAUCAGGAGGAACACCGAUGGCGAAGGCAGGUCUCUGGGCAUUAACUGAGUGAGAGCGAAAGCAUGGGGAGCGAACAGG